RNAcentral lists this ribosomal RNA (187 nucleotides) under uncultured rumen bacterium. RNAcentral describes it as "partial 16S ribosomal RNA". It matches the Rfam family "Bacterial small subunit ribosomal RNA", at positions 340 to 524 of the family's 1533-position model. The record is from RNAcentral.
UACGGGAGGCAGCAGUGAGGAAUAUUGGUCAAUGGGCGGAAGCCUGAACCAGCCAUGCCGCGUGAAGGAAUAAGGCCCUAUGGGUCGUAAACUUCUUUUGUGGUGGAGCAAUAAGGUGUACGCGUACACCGAUGAGAGUACAUCACGAAUAAGCAUCGGCUAACUCCGUGCCAGCAGCCGCGGUAUA